UCGGCUGGAGGUUCUCGACUUGGGCAGCAACUUCUUCUCCGGAGCACUGCCAGCGUCGCUUGCUCAGCUCGCAUCCACGCUGCGAACGCUGGAUCUGUCAGGUUACAGAUUCGAAGGACCGUUUCCAUCGGUUAUUGGAAAACUUACCAGCUUGAGGAAGCUCAUCCUGGAAAGAGCUGAUGCGUCUGCCGGCAGCAUUCCUUCGUUCCUCGCCAACCUCAAGAAUCUCACUGUCUUAAAUCUCCAAGGAAGCUGGUUCACGGGCUCCAUUCCUUCGUCCUUGAGUAAACUGAAAAAUCUUCAAACGCUCGAUCUCUCGGACGGCUUCCGGCUCACAGGGUCCAUACCGGCGUUUCUAGGCAGCCUUCAAAACCUGGAGUAUCUCGACUUGAGUGGUACCAAGUUUUCUGGUUCCAUUCCUCCAUCUCUCGGCAACCUCCCCAAGCUGCGUUUCCUGGACAUUUCCAACACGCUCGUCAGCAGUAGUAUACCUGUUGAGCUUGGAAAGCUUACCAGCUUGGAAACGCUGAGAAUCUCAGGCACCAAAGCCGCAGGACGAAUCCCCGACACGCUUGGAAACCUGAAGAAGCUAAAAGUGUUGGAGCUGUCUCAAAACGCAGGUAUGCGUGGUCCCAUUCCCAGCUCCUUCGGCCAGCUCUCUUCCCUGA
RNAcentral lists this long non-coding RNA (668 nucleotides) under Selaginella moellendorffii. RNAcentral's name for it is "long non-coding RNA (SMOE_LNC001248)". Lineage: Eukaryota; Viridiplantae; Streptophyta; Lycopodiopsida; Selaginellales; Selaginellaceae. The record is from RNAcentral.